RNAcentral lists this ribosomal RNA (203 nucleotides) under Klebsiella variicola subsp. variicola. RNAcentral's name for it is "partial 23S ribosomal RNA". It matches the Rfam family "Bacterial large subunit ribosomal RNA", at positions 1143 to 1345 of the family's 2925-position model. Lineage: Bacteria; Pseudomonadati; Pseudomonadota; Gammaproteobacteria; Enterobacterales; Enterobacteriaceae. The record is from RNAcentral.
GACUGGUCGAGUCGGCCUGCGCGGAAGAUGUAACGGGGCUAAACCAUGCACCGAAGCUGCGGCAGCGACACUAUGUGUUGUUGGGUAGGGGAGCGUUCUGUAAGCCUGCGAAGGUGGCCUGUGAGGGCUGCUGGAGGUAUCAGAAGUGCGAAUGCUGACAUAAGUAACGAUAAAGCGGGUGAAAAGCCCGCUCGCCGGAAGAC